AUGGCUCAGAUGAAACGCUGGCGACGUGCUUAACACAUGCAAGUCGUGCGAGAAAGUAGACUUCGGUCUAUGAGUAGAGCGGCGCACGGGUGAGUGACGCGUGGAUGAUCUACCCUUGAGUUCGGGAUAACGGUGGGAAACCGCCGCUAAUACCGUAUAACAAUCCAUUUCAACGUGGGUUCAAAGCAGGCCUCUUCGUGAAAGCUUGCGCUUGGGGAUGAGUCCGCGUCCCAUUAGCUUGUAGGCGGGGUAAUGGCCCACCAAGGCUACGAUGGGUAGCUGGUCUGAGAGGAUGAUCAGCCACACUGGAACUGAAACACGGUCCAGACUCCUACGGGAGGCAGCAGUGGGGAAUAUUGCGCAAUGGGGGAAACCCUGACGCAGCGACGUCGUGUGAGGGAAGAAGGCCUUCGGGUCGUAAACCUCUGUCAGAAGGGAAGAACCGCCGGGAGUCGAAUAGCCUCUCGGCCUGACGGUACCUUCAGAGGAAGCGCCGGCUAACUCCGUGCCAGCAGCCGCGGUAAUACGGAGGGCGCAAGCGUUAAUCGGAAUUACUGGGCGUAAAGCGUGCGUAGGCUGUCUGAUAAGUCAGGCGUGAAAUCCCUCGGCUCAACCGGGGAACUGCGUUUGAUACUGUCGGACUCGAGUCCUGGAGAGGGUGGCGGAAUUCCUGGUGUAGGAGUGAAAUCCGUAGAUAUCAGGAGGAACACCGGUGGCGAAGGCGGCCACCUGGACAGGUACUGACGCUGAGGCACGAAAGCGUGGGGAGCAAACAGGAUUAGAUACCCUGGUAGUCCACGCGGUAAACGAUGGAUGCUAGGUGUCGGGGAGCGAUCUUCGGCGCCGCAGCUAACGCAUUAAGCAUCCCGCCUGGGGAGUACGGUCGCAAGGCUGAA
This 896-nucleotide ribosomal RNA is filed under the name uncultured bacterium. RNAcentral's name for it is "bacterial SSU rRNA". It matches the Rfam family "Bacterial small subunit ribosomal RNA", at positions 19 to 898 of the family's 1533-position model. The record is from RNAcentral.